This 155-nucleotide ribosomal RNA is filed under the name Fabaeformiscandona kushiroensis. RNAcentral's name for it is "5.8S rRNA". It matches the Rfam family "5.8S ribosomal RNA". Rfam says of the family: 5.8S ribosomal RNA (5.8S rRNA) is a component of the large subunit of the eukaryotic ribosome. It is transcribed by RNA polymerase I as part of the 45S precursor that also contains 18S and 28S rRNA. Functionally, it is thought that 5.8S rRNA may be involved in ribosome translocation. The record is from RNAcentral. Lineage: Eukaryota; Metazoa; Arthropoda; Ostracoda; Podocopida; Candonidae.
CUCUGAACAGUGGAUCACUCGGCUCGUAGAUCGAUGAAGAACGCAGCCAACUGCGUGAAGCAUGGCGAAUUGCAGGGCUUCAUGAAACCGCUACUUGUUGAACACAUAUUGUGACUCUAGCUUACGGGCUAGGGUCUUGCCCAUCUGAGGGUCGU